This 197-nucleotide ribosomal RNA is filed under the name uncultured bacterium. RNAcentral describes it as "partial 16S ribosomal RNA". It matches the Rfam family "Bacterial small subunit ribosomal RNA", at positions 328 to 539 of the family's 1533-position model. The record is from RNAcentral.
ACGCUCGACACCUACGGGAGGCAGCAGUGGGGAAUAUUGCACAAUGGGGGAAACCCUGAUGCAGCGACGCCGCGUGGAGGAAGAAGGUCUUCGGAUUGUAAACUCCUGUUGUUGGGGAAAAAGAGGAUGGUACCCAACAAGGAAGUGACGGCUAACUACGUACCAGAGCCGCGGUAAUCUGAGCGGGCUGGCAAGGC